AUAUUGGACAAUGGGGGAAACCCUGAUCCAGCCAUCCCGCGUGUAUGAUGAAGGCCUUCGGGUUGUAAAGUACUUUUGGCAGAGAAGAAAAGGUAUCUCCUAAUACGAGAUACUGCUGACGGUAUCUGCAGAAUAAGCACCGGCUAACUACGUGCCAGCAGCCGCGGUAAUACGUAGGGUGCAAGCGUUAAUCGGAAUUACUGGGCGUAAAGCGUGUGUAGGCGGUUCGGAAAGAAAGAUGUGAAAUCCCCGGGCUCAACCUGGGAACUGCAUUUGUGACUGUAUAGCUAGAGUACGGUAGAGGGGGGUAGAAUUCCACGUGUAGCAGUGAAAUGCGUAGAUAUGUGGAGGAAUACCGAUGGCGAAGGCAGCCCCCUGGGAUAAUACUGACGCUCAGACACGAAAGCGUGGGGAGCAAACA
RNAcentral lists this ribosomal RNA (421 nucleotides) under uncultured bacterium. Its description in RNAcentral is "partial 16S ribosomal RNA". It matches the Rfam family "Bacterial small subunit ribosomal RNA", at positions 361 to 774 of the family's 1533-position model. The record is from RNAcentral.